Molecule: ribosomal RNA, 253 nt
Filed under: uncultured bacterium
Lineage: Bacteria
Description: partial 16S ribosomal RNA
Rfam family: Bacterial small subunit ribosomal RNA
Source: RNAcentral
UACGGAGGGUCCGAGCGUUAUCCGGAUUUAUUGGGUUUAAAGGGUGCGCAGGCGGGAUGUUAAGUCAGUUGUGAAAGUUGGACGCUCAACGUUCAAAUUGCAAUUGAAACUGGCAUUCUUGAGUGCAGUGGAGGUAAGUGGAAUUCGUGGUGUAGCGGUGAAAUGCUUAGAUAUCACGAAGAACUCCGAUUGCGAAGGCAACUUGCUAUACUGCAACUGACGCUCAUGCACGAAGGUGUGGGUAUCAAACAGG